UUUACUACAAAUGAGAUGACGGUUUCCUUUAAUGAAUGCAGUGCUAACAACAGAUUCAAGAGGUCGGUUCCUGUCUCUGUAAAACCGAAUCGGAGCCAUUGGUCUUUGUACAAACCACACAAUAACAGUGCUGAGGUCUUGUACUAAUGUUCCCAGCUGAAGGAGGGAGGAACCAGCGGAAGGAUGAAGAGAAGGGGAGCUGUGCACGAACUCCUUCCAGCAUGUGACACGCAGCGAGCAGCGCACCAAGCUGUGCUAAUGGGGAGGAUGUAGUCCUCCCUAACCCUGAUACAAAUCCACCCCUGCAGUUCCUGCGUUGGUUCCGACAUACGUCAUUAGGUCUUUCUUUGAUCACAACCUGUUAUUAAUGUGAAAGGCUUAAUAAAUUCCCUAGGAUGUAUUUCUAGCUGCAGUGUUUUUAAGACAUACUGAGUGCAGGGCAAAGACAGGC
This is a long non-coding RNA of Cyanistes caeruleus (blue tit), 451 nucleotides long. RefSeq lists it as uncharacterized. The record is from RefSeq and is a predicted model, not a curated record. Lineage: Eukaryota; Metazoa; Chordata; Aves; Passeriformes; Paridae.